AGCUGGUUUCUCAAGAAAAGAAUUUUAGUCCAACCUAAAGUAACUUUACCCUCCACUAAUUAAACCCCCCCCUACUUUAGAGCAAUUCAAAUGAGGUACAGCCCAUUUGACACAGGAUACAACCUUCAUUUACGGGUAAAACUUAAUUCACACCUUAAAGUAGGCCUAAAAGCAGCCACCUUUUAAAAAGCGUCAAAGCUUAACCCUGAUUAUACUAAUUCAAAAACCCAUGUUAACCCCUUCAAUCGUACUGAGAACUUCUAUAACCCUAUAGAACCUUUUAUGCUAAAACUAGUAACAAGAGAAAACCCCUCUCAUAAUGCAGACGUAAGCCAGCAAGAACCCAUCACUGGCAAUUAACAGCCUUAAACAAAAGUAGCAACCUUACUAGAAAAUUCUACUUCAUCAACUGUUAACCUAACACUAGAGCAUUUCAAGAAAGAUUAAAAGAAAAAGAAGGAACUCGGCAAAUUAAAGUCCCGCCUGUUUACCAAAAACAUCGCCUCUUGCUUCCUAUAAGAGGUCCAACCUGCCCAGUGACCCUGUUCAACGGCCGCGGUAUCCUAACCGUGCGAAGGUAGCGUAAUCACUUGUUUUCUAAAUAAAGACCUGUAUGAAAGGUUUAACGAGGACUAAACUGUCUCCUUUUUCUAAUCAGUAAACCUAAUCUCCCCGUGAAAAAGCGGGAAUUCCUUUAUAAGACGA
RNAcentral lists this ribosomal RNA (705 nucleotides) under Pristimantis sp. QCAZ 45131. RNAcentral describes it as "partial 16S ribosomal RNA". It matches the Rfam family "Bacterial large subunit ribosomal RNA", at positions 847 to 2083 of the family's 2925-position model. The record is from RNAcentral. Lineage: Eukaryota; Metazoa; Chordata; Amphibia; Anura; Strabomantidae.